UUAAUAAAAAAAUUGCUACAAUUUAUUUAUUUUAAAUUACUUGGAAUUGUUGUAGCUACUAAAUAUUUUCGUUGGUUCGGAAAGGAUAAGAUUCAGUGACUCCCCGAAGUUGGCCUCCAAACGUACAAAAAUUAAUUUGUGGCAUUGUAGAUGUUUUGCAAAUUCUCAAAGAUAGCGGGGAGGCUACAUCAUAAUUAUAUAAAGUGGGAGAAGGCUGCAGUUUCCUGUCGAAAAGUGUUCGCAAUAAAAUGUUAAUAUUUUAUUAUUCGAAUUAUUUCUAAUAAAUAGGUUCUAAUCUAAUCAAAAAUUAGGCUCAAAUAAUAAACGAUAGUACUGUCUAAGUUCCUAAAACAAGUAAUUAAAAGGUAGGUGCCAUACAGUUUUGUGUAGGUACCUAUAGAUUGUAAACUCAGUAAAAAAUGUAGAAACAUAUAAUGAUACUUUUCUUGAUUUACAUGUGGAAGGUGGGACUAAUCAAUAUAACUUAUACAUUUCAUAGAAAAGAUGGUGGUGGAGUGUUAAAAUAUUGUAUUACGUUUAAAUUUUUAACUAAAAAAAACGUUAAAUAGAAAAUAAGUUAAGUGAUUCUAAGAUUUAAUAAAAUAGUUUUUUUACUCUACUAAUAUACCUGCCUAGGCACUCAACUGAAUUAUUCUAAGAACAACAUUUUUUAUUAUUUUUAUGUACAAAUAUCUACCAUUUAUUUAUACCUAUACAUUUACUUUAUUAAUGCUUAUUUUUCUAACCAUUUAAGUAUUAUAGCGUAUAGGUACCUACCUAAUACUAAAGAUUAUAAUUAAUAACAUUUAUAAUUUAUUUCACUAAUAAUCAUCAUUA
Myzus persicae (green peach aphid) is the source of this 837-nucleotide long non-coding RNA. RefSeq lists it as uncharacterized. The record is from RefSeq and is a predicted model, not a curated record. NCBI's taxonomy places the organism in Eukaryota, Metazoa, Arthropoda, Insecta, Hemiptera, Aphididae. The transcript is spliced from 3 exons.